GGAGGGAUGCCGGAGCGGUCGAACGGGGCGGUCUCGAAAACCGUUGUGCGUGCAAACGUACCGUGGGUUCGAAUCCCACUUCCUCCGCCA
RNAcentral lists this transfer RNA (90 nucleotides) under Alphaproteobacteria bacterium. Its description in RNAcentral is "tRNA-Ser". It matches the Rfam family "tRNA". From Rfam's summary of the family: Transfer RNA (tRNA) molecules are approximately 80 nucleotides in length. Their secondary structure includes four short double-helical elements and three loops (D, anti-codon, and T loops). Further hydrogen bonds mediate the characteristic L-shaped molecular structure. tRNAs have two regions of fundamental functional importance: the anti-codon, which is responsible for specific mRNA codon recognition, and the 3' end, to which the tRNAs corresponding amino acid is attached (by aminoacyl-tRNA synthetases). tRNAs cope with the degeneracy of the genetic code in two manners: having more than one tRNA (with a specific anti-codon) for a particular amino acid; and 'wobble' base-pairing, i.e. permitting non-standard base-pairing at the 3rd anti-codon position. Lineage: Bacteria; Pseudomonadati; Pseudomonadota; Alphaproteobacteria. The record is from RNAcentral.